GAUGAACGCUGGCGGCGUGCCUAAUACACGCAAGUCGAGCGAACAGACGAGGAGCUUGCUCCUCUGACGUUAGCGGCGGACGGGUGAGUAACACGUGGAUAACCUACCUAUAAGACUGGGAUAACUUCGGGAAACCGGAGCUAAUACCGGAUAAUAUAUUGAACCGCAUGGUUCAAUAGUGAAAGACGGUUUUGCUGUCACUUAUAGAUGGAUCCGCGCCGCAUUAGCUAGUUGGUAAGGUAACGACUUACCAAGGCAACGAUGCGUAGCCGACCUGAGAGGGUGAUCGGCCACACUGGAACUGAGACACGGUCCAGACUCCUACGGGAGGCAGCAGUAGGGAAUCUUCCGCAAUGGGCGAAAGCCUGACGGAGCAACGCCGCGUGAGUGAUGAAGGUCUUCGGAUCGUAAAACUCUGUUAUUAGGGAAGAACAAAUGUGUAAGUAACUAUGCACGUCUUGACGGUACCUAAUCAGAAAGCCACGGCUAACUACGUG
RNAcentral lists this ribosomal RNA (497 nucleotides) under uncultured bacterium. RNAcentral describes it as "partial 16S ribosomal RNA". It matches the Rfam family "Bacterial small subunit ribosomal RNA", at positions 28 to 507 of the family's 1533-position model. The record is from RNAcentral.